Gallus gallus (chicken) is the source of this 1041-nucleotide long non-coding RNA. NCBI's taxonomy places the organism in Eukaryota, Metazoa, Chordata, Aves, Galliformes, Phasianidae. The record is from Ensembl.
CCUUCAGCUGCAAGUGAAAAGUAGAGCAGAAUCCUGCACACCCUGAUAAAAGUAUUCAGAAAACAUGAAAUAAUGAAUAGUUUGUAGAUGAGGCACUUACUGUGCGAGGUGGUCAAACAACUGUGUGCACACUGAGGGAUUUCUCAUCCGGCAAGAGCUGCUCCUGGAAAGAGGAGGGAAAAAGACAGUGACCUUGUGAAGUGGGAAAAGAAGAAACCUGCCUUUUGGCUGAAUGUGGCACGUGAAAAGUUAAGAAUGGUUCUUGACCUGUCUGGUGAAAAGUUGGUGACUUGCCUGAGAAAUAAAAAAAGAAGGAUGGAUAGACCUAAAAGCAAGGAUUCAUGACUGAGACAUCUCGACAUCCCUGCUGGCUGCUGCAGGAGCCAGGCAUCACUUAGACACAGUGACUUGUAGAAGUCGAGAGGACACCAUUGUCCUGCUCCCUGGAAAUGCAUCAAACUCACCCUGAAAAACAAAAACCCAACAACAAAAGCCUAAUCCCCAACAUGAACAGUAUAUCUCAACCAGUUCCUCUUCUAUCAGUUAAGAGCAGAAAUACUGGAUGCCAGUAAUACCAUUAAUUGUAUUUCUAGAGAAAAAACAGCCAAAUUCUUUUGACAUAUAUCUCCUCAUCCAUACUGCUUUAGCCUGCAUAAUUUUAGUGGUCAAGCACCUACUUUGGGUAACAUUUUUCAGUCCUUGAUGGAUAGUCGCAGCAGAAAAUUAUAUCUUUCUGUCAGUAGGUAAAUAGGUUGCCUGUGUGUAUUGUCACAGUCAGGUUGGAUUCUAUAAAACUUCCCUUUCCAGAAAAAGAUAUUCAUUACUAACCACAAAAAAAUAAAAAAUAAAAAAAAAUAAAAAUAAAAAAAAUCUGUAUAAUAGUCAAACAGUCACAGAAAAAAUCAUAUUUUGCUUUAAACUUGAUUCUUUUCACACUUGCAUGAUAUAUACAUAAGCACAAUUUUAUUAGACUUGAUUUUCUCCUAGGAUAUUUCUAUGUCUGACAUAGGAAUUUCAAUAAAAGGAAUACAGAGAGACUUA